RNAcentral lists this ribosomal RNA (465 nucleotides) under Vreelandella stevensii. Its description in RNAcentral is "partial 16S ribosomal RNA". It matches the Rfam family "Bacterial small subunit ribosomal RNA", at positions 338 to 795 of the family's 1533-position model. Lineage: Bacteria; Pseudomonadati; Pseudomonadota; Gammaproteobacteria; Oceanospirillales; Halomonadaceae. The record is from RNAcentral.
UCUACGGGUGGCUGCAGUGGGGAAUAUUGGACAAUGGGCGAAAGCCUGAUCCAGCCAUGCCGCGUGUGUGAAGAAGGCCUUCGGGUUGUAAAGCACUUUCAGUGGGGAAGAAAGCCUUGGGGCUAAUACCCUCGAGGAAGGACAUCACCCACAGAAGAAGCACCGGCUAACUCCGUGCCAGCAGCCGCGGUAAUACGGAGGGUGCGAGCGUUAAUCGGAAUUACUGGGCGUAAAGCGCGCGUAGGCGGUCUGAUAAGCCGGUUGUGAAAGCCCCGGGCUCAACCUGGGAACGGCAUCCGGAACUGUCAGGCUAGAGUGCAGGAGAGGAAGGUAGAAUUCCCGGUGUAGCGGUGAAAUGCGUAGAGAUCGGGAGGAAUACCAGUGGCGAAGGCGGCCUUCUGGACUGACACUGACGCUGAGGUGCGAAAGCGUGGGUAGCAAACAGGAUUAGAUACCCGGGUAGUC